Molecule: small RNA, 1470 nt
Filed under: Pyricularia oryzae
Lineage: Eukaryota; Fungi; Ascomycota; Sordariomycetes; Magnaporthales; Pyriculariaceae
Description: Magnaporthe oryzae sRNA M_BR32_EuGene_00146551
Source: RNAcentral
UUAUUAUAAUUUUAAAGGUUAUUAAAAACGUCCGAAAAUUUAAAACGGUCGUUGCAAAUCCGGCGAUUAUUUUUACGGAAUUGUCGAAUUAAAUUAUAAUUAUAAUAAAAUUGGAAAAACGUUACGCAAUUUACCAUACGUUUUUCGUUAACCGGAAAUACGAAUUAUAUAAAAGAAAAGGGGACCGUAACAAAAACCGUUACCCGCGUAAAAAAAACGAUAAUAGGGGAUGGCGUAUUUCCACGAAUAAAAAAUAUUAUAUAUACGGGAAAUUAAAAUACCGACUUUCCAAUUAUAUCGAAAAAAAAUAACGUUUUUGCGAACGGCGAAUCCGGGAUCGUUAGAAAAAAAAAGGACAAACGCGGAAAUAACCAAUUUGUCAUAACCGGGAAAAAUGGAAAAAAUGUUAAAAAACAAAAUAAUAAUUUGAAUAACGUUACAAAUGUUAAAAAAACAAAGGAAAAAAUUUCCGAAAAUGGUUAUAUUUUUACCUAUUUUAUAAAUUACGAAACCGAGGAAUUUUUAACCGACAAAUUAUUCCGGUAUCGAUUAAAACAAAUAUAAAAAAGGUUCCAAACCAUAAAUAAAAAAAAAAAAACCCAUACCAAAUUUUAUACCAACGAAAUAUAAACGAAAUUUAAUAUGGGAUUAUCCCUAAUAUAGGGGCAAUUAUAAUUUCCACGGCCGGAAUAGGGUAAAUUAAAAUAUUGCAACGCCAAAAACCGCAUAUUUAUAUUAAUAAAACAAACCCAAAUAAGGCCACGGUGCGUUUUGGAACAGGAAAAAAUAUUACGGUAAUAGGGGAAAUAACGUUAAAUACCCAAAUCGGCGAAAUUACGUUCCACGUAAUAUCGACAAAUAUACCAUUUUUGCUAUAUAUUUAAAAUACAAAUAAAUUCGGUCUAUAUUUAAAUAAUACCAGCAACAAAUUUGUAAAAACCGAUGGUAUUAAAAUACCGAUUUUACGCAAAUAGGGAUACCUAUAAUUUUAUUUACCUGGAAUAACGCCGACAAAACCGGCGAUAUAUUUUAUAAGGAACGCAAAUAUAAUAAUAACUUUUUUAACAAAAAAAAAAUUGCGAACGGUGUAUUGAAAAUUCGGCCACCCAUUAAUAAAACGUUUAUAAAAAAUAUUAUAAAGGGCAGGCCAUAAGGUAAACCGGAAUAUAUUGGAAUUAAUAAACCGUUUUUGCCAUUAUUGCCAAAUUAAAAAAAAUGUUCCACAACGUUUUAAAUUUACCCUGAAAAACAAUAUAAAUUUCAAUUACGAAAUUAUUAUCGAUAUUAUAUAUUUGGAUUCCAAACCGGUUUUAUACGUGGUCGACGCGAAUAUUAUAUUCCAAACAGCGCGUUUCCUAAACAACGUAUCGGUUAAAAAAAUAUGGGAGGUAUUAAAAAAAUAUUGGAUAAAUACGUACCUGGGACCGCGAAAUAUCGUUAUUUACAAUUUAAAUACCAAUUUUGCUAUUU